GUCUCAAUGAGGAGCAUAAAAGAACGUGAUUAGCUCUCGAAUCUUCCAAGCUCUUAAAGUAAAGUUACUCUUGGUGAUUUUUUCAGGCCUUGGUGUUUUGCAAGUCUUCUGACUCCAGUUGCCGCAUGUAUUAAUUAUCACUUCUGGCAGCCAUGCUUCACUGUUUGGAGAAACUUCUUGGCCAGAGAGACCCAAGUAUUUGAGGUGGAGUGACAAGGGAGGAAAAGCAAAGCAGUUCAAGUCUGAAGGCUUCUGGCAGAAUUCCCUCCUAGCGGGAGGUUUAUUCAUUACUUGAGUUUCUUCUUUUGCAAAGUCCCUCUCCAGGUAUGUUGCCCAUUUCUUCAGCUGAAUUAUUUAUCCUUUUCUUAUUGAUAC
Molecule: long non-coding RNA, 375 nt
Organism: Felis catus (domestic cat)
Lineage: Eukaryota; Metazoa; Chordata; Mammalia; Carnivora; Felidae
Exons: 4
Source: RefSeq, a predicted model, not a curated record